Molecule: ribosomal RNA, 500 nt
Filed under: uncultured bacterium
Lineage: Bacteria
Description: partial 16S ribosomal RNA
Rfam family: Bacterial small subunit ribosomal RNA
Source: RNAcentral
AUUGAACGCUGGCGGCGUGCUUAACACAUGCAAGUCGAUCGGUAACGCGGGGGCAACCCUGGCGACGAGAGGCGGACGGGUGAGGAACGCUUGGGAAUCUGCCCUUCAGCGGGGGACAACACGGGGAAACUCGUGCUAAUACCGCAUACGCUCCACGGAGGAAAGCCGGGGACCGCAAGGCCUGGCACUGAAGGAUGAGCCCAAGUCGGAUUAGCUAGUUGGCGGGGUAACGGCCCACCAAGGCGACGAUCCGUAGCUGGUCUGAGAGGACGAUCAGCCACACUGGGACUGAGAAACGGCCCAGACUCCUACGGGAGGCAGCAGUGGGGAAUAUUGGACAAUGGGGGAAACCCUGAUCCAGCGACGCCGCGUGGGUGAAGAAGGCCUGCGGGUUGUAAAGCCCUUUCGGUAGGGACGAAAGCUCUCGACCUAACACGUCGGGAGGUUGACUUAACCUACAAAAGAAGCACCGGCUAACUCUGUGCCAGCCGCCGCCGUAA